GGUUUGUAUUGUUGGGUUAAAAGGGAAACAGGUGUGAAUCCUGUACGAUCUCGUCACUGUAUUUAAGGAGUAUGAAACUGUGUGCGAUGCACAGUCACUGGGAAACCGGGAAGGCUGUUUCAUAUGUUGAUUUAUAAGCCAGGAAACCUGCCUGCUAU
This 158-nucleotide non-coding RNA is filed under the name uncultured Blautia sp. Lineage: Bacteria; Bacillati; Bacillota; Clostridia; Lachnospirales; Lachnospiraceae. The record is from RNAcentral.